CUUAGUGCUGGUUUUAUAGACAGUUCUUGGUGAGACGUGAUUGUUUUAAAUAAUUAAUUUCAUGUUAUUAUUGAAAUUAUCUAAUUAAAGUUUUCGUUCUAAAAAUUGAUUAUUAAUUAGUGGUCUUGUGGUGCUAUCCAUCUGCAAUAGUCACCAAUUUGGCUAGAAAUUCGAGUUUUAUAAACAUUCCCAAUGGUUGUGAUGAAUUAACUGGUUCAAGUUUAUCAGUAACUAGAUUUUCCUGGGAUAAAUCCAUUCCUAGUACAUCUACCUCGCUUUCAUUUACCGAAGAAAAUGCAUCAGCUUUAAGAGUUCAAAAUUUGGUAACAAACUCCAACAAUUCGAUCAAGGAUAAUUCAUUAAGGAGUUCAACUGAAUCAUUGCCAAGUCCCGUAUUACAAUCACAAAACAUCGAAAGUCCUCAAAGUUUUAGUGAUAUUGUUAUUGAUGAAACGAAUAAUAUUGCAUCCAAUCAAAUUUCUCGAUUGGAUUCAUCUAUUUUUCAAACUUUAAUUUUAUGAAUUUUAUUUUAUGAAAUCUUUAAAU
Molecule: long non-coding RNA, 546 nt
Organism: Microplitis mediator
Lineage: Eukaryota; Metazoa; Arthropoda; Insecta; Hymenoptera; Braconidae
Exons: 3
Source: RefSeq, a predicted model, not a curated record